UCACCUUAUGGAAAAAGAAGGCUUUCAUCGGAAGUGUGACUCUUGGUGGGUCAAGGAUGGUCCCGUCACUAUCAAGGAUAUGGUGCAUACGAAGUCAUUCUCUAUUUGAUAAGUGAUUUCUUCACAAUAAUGAUGGUGAAAGGGAUUGGUACUUCAGAUCUGAACGUUUGGUAACGGUGUGACCGGAAACCAUGGGUGGUGUUUCGUUGGAUGUGUCGCUCGGUCUGGGUGAACCGUCAUUGGAGACGUGGACUUUUAUCUCGUCUGUUGCCAAGUGCGACGGCAGGUUUAUCUUACUCUAGAGCUAGGCAUUUCAAAUGUUUCAUUGAUUUACGAGGAAGGGGCUUAACAAAGGUGGCUGAGUUUUCUUUCAAUUUUACUUUGGUUACAGGUACGAGGUAGCAGCUUUAUCUUUUUCUUGUUU
This 424-nucleotide long non-coding RNA is filed under the name Gossypium raimondii (Peruvian cotton). RNAcentral describes it as "long non-coding RNA (GRAI_LNC006625)". The record is from RNAcentral. Lineage: Eukaryota; Viridiplantae; Streptophyta; Magnoliopsida; Malvales; Malvaceae.